UACGAAGGGGGCUAGCGUUGCUCGGAACCACUGGGCGUAAAGGGCGCGUAGGCGGAUCUUUAAGUCGGGGGUGAAAGCCCGGGGCUCAACCCCGGAACGGCAUCCGAUACGGGGCGGCUCGAGACCGAGAGAGGUGAGUGGAAUACCCAGUGUAGAGGUGAAAUUCGUAGAUAUUGGGUGGAACACCGGUGGCGAAAGCGGCUCACUGGCUCGGUUCUGACGCUGAGGCGCGAAAGCGUGGGGAGCAAACAGG
This 253-nucleotide ribosomal RNA is filed under the name uncultured bacterium. RNAcentral's name for it is "partial 16S ribosomal RNA". It matches the Rfam family "Bacterial small subunit ribosomal RNA", at positions 524 to 776 of the family's 1533-position model. The record is from RNAcentral.